ACAAAGGCUAGACAUUUUACAGACUAAUUUGGAAUUUGCUAAAG
Molecule: small RNA, 44 nt
Filed under: Drosophila erecta
Lineage: Eukaryota; Metazoa; Arthropoda; Insecta; Diptera; Drosophilidae
Description: GG26837
Source: RNAcentral